RNAcentral lists this ribosomal RNA (468 nucleotides) under uncultured bacterium. RNAcentral describes it as "partial 16S ribosomal RNA". It matches the Rfam family "Bacterial small subunit ribosomal RNA", at positions 28 to 507 of the family's 1533-position model. The record is from RNAcentral.
GACGAACGCUGGCGGCGUGCUUAACACAUGCAAGUCGAACGGAAAGGCCCUGCUUUUGUGGGGUGCUCGAGUGGCGAACGGGUGAGUAACACGUGAGUAACCUGCCCUUGACUUUGGGAUAACUUCAGGAAACUGGGGCUAAUACCGGAUAGGAGCUCCUGCUGCAUGGUGGGGGUUGGAAAGUUUCGGCGGUUGGGGAUGGACUCGCGGCUUAUCAGCUUUUUGGUGGGGUAGUGGCUUACCAAGGCUUUGACGGGUAGCCGGCCUGAGAGGGUGACCGGCCACAUUGGGACUGAGAUACGGCCCAGACUCCUACGGGAGGCAGCAGUGGGGAAUAUUGCACAAUGGGCGGAAGCCUGAUGCAGCAACGCCGCGUGCGGAAUGACGGCCUUCGGGUUGUAAACCGCUUUCGCCUGUGACGAAGCGUGAGUGACGGUAAUGGGUAAAGAAGCACCGGCUAACUACGUG